CCUACGGGUGGCAGCAGUGGGGAAUAUUGCACAAUGGGGGAAACCCUGAUGCAGCGACGCCGCGUGAGUGAAGAAGUAUUUCGGUAUGUAAAGUUCUAUCAGCAGGGAAGAAAAUGACGGUACCUGACUAAGAAGCCCCGGCUAACUACGUGCCAGCAGCCGCGGUAAUACGUAGGGGGCAAGCGUUAUCCGGAUUUACUGGGUGUAAAGGGAGCGUAGGCGGUGGUGCAAGUCUGAAGUGAAAGCCCACAGCUUAACUGCGGGACUGCUUUGGAAACUGUACGACUAGAUUGCAGGAGAGGUAAGUGGAAGUCCUAGUGUAGCAGUUAAAUGCGUAGAUAUUAGGAGGAACACCAGUGGCGAAGGCGGCUUACUGGACUGUAAAUGACGUUGAGGCUCGAAAGCGUGGGGAGCAAACAGGAUUAGAUACCCUUGUAGUC
Molecule: ribosomal RNA, 440 nt
Filed under: uncultured bacterium
Lineage: Bacteria
Description: partial 16S ribosomal RNA
Rfam family: Bacterial small subunit ribosomal RNA
Source: RNAcentral